CCUACGGGUGGCAGCAGUGGGGAAUAUUGGGCAAUGGGCGCAAGCCUGACCCAGCAACGCCGCGUGAAGGAAGAAGGCUUUCGGGUUGUAAACUUCUUUUAAUAGGGAAGAGCAGCAGACGGUCCCUCUUGAAUCAGCCACGGCUAACUACGUGCCAGCAGCCGCUGUAAUACGGAGGUGGCAAGCGUUUUCCGGAUUUACUGGGUGUAAAGGGCGUGUAGCCGGGGUGAAAAGUCAGAUGUUAACUCCUGGGGCCUCACCCCCGAACUGCAUUUGAAACUGUUGGUCUUGGGUAUGGGAGAGGUAGGGGGAAAUCUUGGUGUAGGGGUAAAAUCCGUAGAGAUCAAGAGGGAAACGCAUUGCGAAGGGGAGCUGCUAGAACAUAACUGACGGUGGUGCGCGAAAGCGUGGGGAGCAAAAAGGAAUAAAAACCCGUGUAGUC
RNAcentral lists this ribosomal RNA (442 nucleotides) under uncultured bacterium. RNAcentral's name for it is "partial 16S ribosomal RNA". It matches the Rfam family "Bacterial small subunit ribosomal RNA", at positions 338 to 795 of the family's 1533-position model. The record is from RNAcentral.